Molecule: small RNA, 862 nt
Filed under: Pongo abelii (Sumatran orangutan)
Lineage: Eukaryota; Metazoa; Chordata; Mammalia; Primates; Hominidae
Description: retained intron
Source: RNAcentral
AGAGAAUCUGUGAACGCUUUCGGAAUUAUGGCGGCGGUGGAUAUCCGAGACAAUCUGCUGGGAAUUUCUUGGGUUGACAGCUCUUGGAUCCCUAUUUUGAACAGUGGUAGUGUCCUGGAUUACUUUUCAGAAAGAAGUAAUCCUUUUUAUGACAGAACAUGUAAUAAUGAAGUGGUCAAAAUGCAGAGGCUAACAUUAGAACACUUGAAUCAGAUGGUUGGAAUCGAAUACAUCCUUUUGCAUGCUCAAGAGCCCAUUCUUUUCAUCAUUCGGAAGCAACAGCGGCAGUCCCCUGCCCAAGUUAUCCCACUAGCUGAUUACUAUAUCAUUGCUGGAGUGAUCUAUCAGGCACCAGACUUGGGAUCAGUUAUAAACUCUAGAGUGCUUACUGCAGUGCAUGGUAUUCAGUCAGCUUUUGAUGAAGCUAUGUCAUACUGUCGAUAUCAUCCUUCCAAAGGGUAUUGGUGGCACUUCAAAGAUCAUGAAGAGCAAGGUAAGUAGAACAUCCAGACCCUCCUAAAACACUUUUUGAUCCUCUGAGAAUGAAGCUGUUUUCUUUAGGAAAAUGGCUGUUGAUCUUUUCUAAGUGUGUUUCAGUUUUUCAUGGGAUGAUGGCUUUGUUGCAGCUGAAAUUCAUGUAACUAGAUGUGGUAAUAAUAGCUUUCACAUAGGAACAGAUGCAAGUUCACUCUGUUAGGUAACUGGUAGUCUUAGUUAAAGUGAUUCAAGAUUUUAAAAUAUUUGGGGCCAGGUGUGAUGGCUCACUCCUGUAAUCCCGGCACUUUGGAAUGCCAAGGCAGGUGGAUCACCUGAGCCCAGGAGUUCAAGAUCAGCCUGGGCAACAUAGUGAAACCUGGUCUCU